AGAAUCAACGCUGGCGGCGUGCCUAACACAUGCAAGUCGCACGAGAAAGGGGCUUCGGCUCUGAGUAAAGUGGCGCACGGGUGAGUAACACGUGACUAAUCUACCCUCGAGUGGGGAAUAACUGAGAGAAAUCUUAGCUAAUACCGCAUAACACUUACGAGUCAAAGCAGCAAUGCGCUUGGGGAGGAGGUCGCGGCCGAUUAGCUAGUUGGCGGGUAAUGGCCCACCAAGGCGAUGAUCGGUA
RNAcentral lists this ribosomal RNA (244 nucleotides) under uncultured bacterium. Its description in RNAcentral is "partial small subunit ribosomal RNA". It matches the Rfam family "Bacterial small subunit ribosomal RNA", at positions 26 to 285 of the family's 1533-position model. The record is from RNAcentral.